This 250-nucleotide ribosomal RNA is filed under the name uncultured Desulfuromonas sp. RNAcentral describes it as "partial 16S ribosomal RNA". It matches the Rfam family "Bacterial small subunit ribosomal RNA", at positions 1133 to 1382 of the family's 1533-position model. Lineage: Bacteria; Pseudomonadati; Thermodesulfobacteriota; Desulfuromonadia; Desulfuromonadales; Desulfuromonadaceae. The record is from RNAcentral.
GGGCACUCUAAGGAGACUGCCGGUGUUAAACCGGAGGAAGGCGGGGAUGACGUCAAGUCCUCAUGGCCCUUAUGUCCAGGGCUACACACGUGCUACAAUGGCCGGUACAAAGGGUAGCAAGACCGCGAGGUGGAGCCAACCCCAAAAAGCCGGUCUCAGUUCGGAUUGGAGUCUGCAACUCGACUCCAUGAAGUUGGAAUCGCUAGUAAUCGUGGAUCAGCAUGCCACGGUGAAUACGUUCCCGGGCCUU